Molecule: long non-coding RNA, 1104 nt
Filed under: Oryctolagus cuniculus (rabbit)
Lineage: Eukaryota; Metazoa; Chordata; Mammalia; Lagomorpha; Leporidae
Description: lncRNA (ENSOCUG00000039267.1)
Source: RNAcentral
AUGGGUGCAGUGGUCCAAGUACUUGGGCCAUCUUCCACUGCCUUUCCUAGGCAAAUUAGCAGGGAGCUGGAUUGGAAGUGGAGCAGCCAGGUCUUGAACCGGUGCCCGUAUGGGAUGCCGGCGUCAGAAGCAGAGGCUAACCCUGCAGGGCUACAGGUCUGGCCUGGCCCCAUUUGUGGUCUUAAUGAGGUAAAACUUGCACAGGGUCGACCUCAGGAAGGGUUCUGUGGGUUCAGGGCCCGGGCAGCUCCCCUACCUCCUGGGGUAUUUUCAUCCCCAACCAGGGGAAACUCCACACCCACACGCAGCCCACCCGGCCCCUCCUCCUCUUCUCCCAACCCCGGCUCCUGCCCCCCUCACGGCUUCUCUCAGAGCCGGGACCCCGCCGGAGGUGGCCUGCUCUCAGGUCUGGUGUGUACGGCAGCUGUGCUCUGGGCCUUGUUGAGGCUGGACAGCCGGAUUGUGCCCACCUGGCUUGUACAUGCAGGUACAAGUUGCUGUCACAGCCCCUGUUUUCCACCUCUAGGGCACACACCCAGGAACGGAACCACAGGGUCAUGUCGGGAUUCUCUGGCUUCUUCGGGCGCUGCCCAGCUGUUUUCCACAGCGGCCGCACCACUGGCUCACGGUGAGCUCCAGGAAAGGGCCAGAAACCUAGGGGAGGGGGCCAGGGCUGGACUCCCACCGCCUAGGGACAAGCAGCUGGCUCGCAAACACCCAGGCCUGCUCAGCCAGGGGACACCAUGGGGCAUGCGGGAGACCACCAGGGGCCCCCAAAGCCAUAGCCCUGGCCCUGGGCCCCCGCCCCGCGCAGUGGGACGCCUCCUCCUGCCCUCUGCCUGCCAGUCGAUCCCUGCCUGCCGUGAGAGAGUCAGUGUUUUUCCAAAGCCAGCUGGAAAGUCCCCGUGUGGCCGAUCCCACAGCACGUGCUGCAGCCGGGGCGUCCUGCCCGACACCCAAUCCCCGGCCCGCCCGCCGCCCCACCCGCUAAUCUGGCCAAGACCCCUCUGGGUCCCCCACGGGCACAAUGGGCAGAAACGCCCGGGGCUGUGUGCGGGUGGGGCAGGGAGCUGGCUGGAAUCUGGGGAAUUCAGCGCAAAGUAA